UACUUAUAUUGUCAUGAUUAAAGGUUACAAAUUUAAGGUAAGUUAUUUAACGAUUUAAACAAUGUACGUCGUUUACAAAUUUCAAAGACAAACAAAUAUAAAAAAAAAAAAACAAUUUAUCAGAAACGAACCAGAGAGGAAUAAGAUACAGAAUGUAAAUACAAACGCAUAAGUCGAAAAGGAACCGACAAUGCAAUUGCAAAAACACAAGAAGCAACCAAAAGACAAACAAUAAUUUAUAAACAAUCCUAUGAAAAACCAGGCG
RNAcentral lists this long non-coding RNA (265 nucleotides) under Mytilus galloprovincialis (Mediterranean mussel). Lineage: Eukaryota; Metazoa; Mollusca; Bivalvia; Mytilida; Mytilidae. The record is from RNAcentral.